This 399-nucleotide unclassified non-coding RNA is filed under the name soil metagenome. RNAcentral describes it as "partial contains 5.8S ribosomal RNA, internal transcribed spacer 2, and large subunit ribosomal RNA". The stretch from base 1 to 122 matches the Rfam family "5.8S ribosomal RNA", at positions 35 to 154 of the family's 154-position model. The record is from RNAcentral.
GAUGAAGAACGCAGCGAAAUGCGAUACUUGGUGUGAAUUGCAGAAUCCCGUGAACCAUCGAGUCUUUGAACGCAAGUUGCGCCUCAAGCCAUUAGGUUGAGGGCACGUCUGCCUGGGCGUCACAUAUCGUUGCCUGAUGCCAGUUUCCUCGUGAUGGGUGACUGUGCAGGGCGAAUGAUGGCUUCCCGUGAGCAUUGUUGCCUCAUGGUUGGUUGAAAAUUGAGUCCUUGGUAGGGAGCGCCGUGAUAGAUGGUGGUUGAGUGACGAACGAGACCCAAUCAUGUGAGACCCCUACCGAAUUUGGCCUUCAUGACCCACAUGCGUCUUUGGAACGCUCAUGACGAGACCUCAGGUCAGGCGGGGCUACCCGCUGAGUUUAAGCAUAUCAAUAAGCGGGGA